CCGGCGCACGGGUGCGUAACGCGUAUGCAACUUGCCCUUAUCAGGAGGAUAGCCCGGGGAAACUCGGAUUAAUACUCCAUAAGAUUUUGAUUGGCAUCGAUUAGAAUUGAAAGAUUUAUUGGAUAAGGAUAGGCAUGCGUCAGAUUAGUUAGUUGGUAGUGUAACGGACUACCAAGGCGAUGAUCUGUAGGGGGCCUGAGAGGGUGAACCCCCACACUGGUACUGAGACACGGACCAGACUCCUACGGGAGGCAGCAGUGAGGAAUAUUGGACAAUGGAGGGAACUCUGAUCCAGCCAUCCCGCGUGCAGGAAGACGGCCCUAUGGGUUGUAAACUGCUUUUGUAUGGGGAUAAAUCUACUUACGUGUAGGUAGUUGAAGGUACCAUACGAAUAAGCAUCGGCUAACUCCGUGCCAGCAGCCGCGGUAAUACGGAGGAUGCAAGCGUUAUCCGGAUUCAUUGGGUUUAAAGGGUCCGUAGGCGGGCUGAUAAGUCAGUGGUGAAAUUUUGUCGCUCAACGAUAAAACUGCCAUUGAUACUGUUAGUCUUGAGUGAUAUUGAAGUAGCUGGAAUGUGUAGUGUAGCGGUGAAAUGCAUAGAUAUUACACAGAACACCGAUUGCGAAGGCAGGUUACUAAGUAUUAACUGACGCUGAAGGACGAAAGCGUGGGGAGCGAACAGGAUUAGAUACCCUGGUAGUCCACGCAGUAAACGAUGAUAUUACGAGGC
This 729-nucleotide ribosomal RNA is filed under the name Ornithobacterium rhinotracheale. RNAcentral's name for it is "bacterial SSU rRNA". It matches the Rfam family "Bacterial small subunit ribosomal RNA", at positions 95 to 823 of the family's 1533-position model. Lineage: Bacteria; Pseudomonadati; Bacteroidota; Flavobacteriia; Flavobacteriales; Weeksellaceae. The record is from RNAcentral.